Long non-coding RNA from Triticum aestivum (bread wheat), 1076 nucleotides. RefSeq lists it as uncharacterized. The record is from RefSeq and is a predicted model, not a curated record. Lineage: Eukaryota; Viridiplantae; Streptophyta; Magnoliopsida; Poales; Poaceae. The transcript is spliced from 5 exons.
AGCUCCUGGGCGCGGGGCGCUGGGCUGCUAUCUCGUCGAACUCUGUGACAGGUGUGGGCUUGGGCCUAGGAACGAGUUGUUCUUCUGCUCCAAGAAGGCUUGCUUUGGCGGGCCACGGCCCAGGUUGGCCCUCACGAAACUCUGCCCUAUUUUUUCUCAAAAAAAAAACGUAACUCCGCCCCGCACGCAGCAGCCGGCAAGGAGCGCGCCCUCCGGCGGCCGGCGACCUGGCUCAGAGGAGCACGGCGGACGGCAUGAUGGCCGGAGACAUGCUGAAAGUCAAGAGAAGCAGCAGAGCGAGCUCAAGUCCAAGGCAGGAAACACGCAAGCUGGGCCAGAGGGCCAGUGAGCCACCUCUUGCCAAUCCUUCUCUGCCGCGCUUAUUUCUACAGAUUUUUGUUCAGAGCCUUCACAUAUAUAUAAAUAUAUAAUGCUUCUGUCAACUAGGAGACUCGCAUCGGAACGAAGCGUUAAAAGAUCUGAUCAAAGGAGGGCUCAGCGAGGAAUCCGCUUCGAAGCUGGCUUUGAGCAUCGUCCCGCUCGUAUCGUAUCACGGUACAGGGAUCCAUUCUCGAUGCACGGGCAUAGUUGUCGAAAGCGAUCAAUACGCUACAUCUUUCCUCACAUCUAUAGAUCUGGUUACUAGAGACUCAGUUUUUCUCCCUGGAUGCCAGAUCAAAGUGCGUCUACCAAACAGGAGAGCGGCGAAGGCACAUCUGCAAUAUUACAGCGCGACUCCCGCUAUGCUUGUUGUGACCAUUGGGCCCUACCCUCAUCUUUGUGCAGCACGUAUCCGUGACAGAACUCAAGUCGAUGAGUCUUCCGGUGACCUGUUUGCUAUUAGUUGUCGGUACAAGACAGGCAAAUUAUCGGUCAUCCGUGGGAUGCUGGCUGACAGUCCAAGUGGACUCGAGGGCGAACGGUCCACGUGCCAAAUCACUGCGGUUGGAAGAGGUGGGCCUCUUGUUGGAGUUGAUGGGAGUAUUGUUGGGAUGAACCUCUGUACGGAAGAAGGGAUAACCCCAUUCGUACCAAUCAAUCAAAUUUAUAAAUGUCUGUGCAAAGUUGGGAUACGG